GGUGCUUGGAUUUUAAGGCAGCAGCUUGCCGAUCCUCCCAGCUGAAUAAAGCCCUUCCUUCUACAACUUGGUGUCUGAGAGGUUUUGUCUGCGGCUCGUCCUGCUACAUUUCUUGGUCCCCUGACCGGGAAUCGAGGUAACUGAGGGAUGGCCGAGGCAGCCCCUUAGGCAGCUUAGGCCUGCCCUGUGGAGCAUCCCUGCAGGGGACUCUGGCCAGCCUGAGUGAUGCGAUCCAAAGAGCACUCCUGGGUAGGAAAUUGCCUGGGUGGAACGCCUCACCAGAACAGCACGUAGCAGGCCCCCGUGGAGGAUUAACACAGUGGCUGAACACCGGGAAGGAACUGGCACUUGGAGUCCGGACAUCUGAAACUUGGACUGUGAAUGCAGCCCAUGAAAAAGAGGGUUUUCGGAAGCUUGACAUUUAUGAGGGUGAGGAGUUGACAAGCCGACAUCAGUCUCCAGAGUGAAUCCAAGGAGUGGACCCAAGACAUUUGUGUUCUGUGAUGUGGUGGCAUGUUACCUGUCAUCUCUGAUGCAUAACUCCUAAAGUGUUUGCGUCUGGGGCAGUUGUACAGAUUGCAAAGGAUAAUACUCAAGAUGUCCUCCAAGGCCAACUACUCAUCAGUUUAUUCAUAACUCCCAAGAUGGUCGUGGGCCACUUCCAAGAUGGUGGCAAGAGUCGUAUUCUCUGACCUGGGGUUCUUGGUCUCAUGGAUUCCAAGGAAUGGAAUCUUGCGCCAUGUGUCCAAAGAAGAAGGAAGAAGAAAGGGGAUAUAAUGAGAAUGAGGAGCGUCAGAUAAUUAGGCAGCAGUCCAACAAUUAGGUUUUGUGGAACUUUUACUAUGUCAUCUAUUUAUUGGAAUUCCCUCUGGAUACCAGGACCCCCUCCAGCAGAGCUUAAAGUUAUAGUUACAGGAAGUACAAAUUCCGUA
RNAcentral lists this long non-coding RNA (932 nucleotides) under Pan troglodytes (chimpanzee). RNAcentral describes it as "lincRNA". Lineage: Eukaryota; Metazoa; Chordata; Mammalia; Primates; Hominidae. The record is from RNAcentral.